This 301-nucleotide ribosomal RNA is filed under the name uncultured bacterium. RNAcentral's name for it is "partial 16S ribosomal RNA". It matches the Rfam family "Bacterial small subunit ribosomal RNA", at positions 509 to 809 of the family's 1533-position model. The record is from RNAcentral.
CAGUCGCCGCGGUAAUACGGAGGGGGCUAGCGUUGUUCGGAAUUGCUGGGCGUAAAGCGCACGUAGGCGGCAUGGUGAGUUAGAGGUGAAAGCCUGGAGCUCAACUCCAGAAUUGCCUUUAAGACUGCCGAGCUAGCAGGUGAGAGAGGUAAGUGGAAUUCCGAGUGUAGAGGUGAAAUUCGUGGAUAUUCGGAAGAACACCAGUGGCGAAGGCGGCUUACUGGCUCAUACUGGACGCUGAGGUGCGAAAGCGUGGGGAGCAAACAGGAUUAGAUACCCCCGUAGUCCCUGUCUCUUAUAA